RNAcentral lists this long non-coding RNA (863 nucleotides) under Ananas comosus (pineapple). Its description in RNAcentral is "long non-coding RNA (ACOM_LNC029157)". The record is from RNAcentral. Lineage: Eukaryota; Viridiplantae; Streptophyta; Magnoliopsida; Poales; Bromeliaceae.
AAACAUAACUGUUAAGCUAUUACAAGCAUUCAGCACAUUUACAUCCCAAUUAUAUCAAGUUUACAUUCAACUUCCAAAUACAAUCAUUUUAUUAUUACAAAUUGUUUCGUUCUUUUCUUCUCUACCCCCCUAAGCUAAGCUGACUCUAAGUAUUUCUAUCUCUGGUCUCAGUGGUAGGGCGCUAUCUACCGAGCUACGCCCUUUCCUCGCGCUGUCGCGCUGCUCACGCAUGGACCUGAAAAAAUGUGGGGUGAGAACUAUAUACAUAGUUCCCAGUGGGGACGACCACCUAAAGGAAGAGCUCGACCCGCCAGGUCCAAAGGAGGCAAGAUAAGCAGGUUAGUCCAAUAGAUAUAUAUAUGUUGUCACGCCCCGCGACCAACCGCCAAUUUGGACCGGGUUGCGGCGCCGCUAACAGACCGCCGAACUGACCGGGAUUUCCCCUGUACGCGGACAGAGUCUCCCCUGUACGUUCUAGGCGUCGCAAUCCAAACAAUACAACGAGUGUUUCAACUAGGAACGGAUAACCAUCCAGAUUGCAAAUGAAGUAUCAAAUACAUAAAACUAACAGCUAUUACAAGCAUUCAUUCACAUUCACUUAGUACAUCUCAGUUCAGUUUACAUUUUUACUUUCAAUUACAAUCACAUUAUUACGUCAUUUAAUUUUACAAGUUUGAUACAUUUUGAUUCUUGCCUUCUAGACCCCUAAGCUAGACUGCCUCAGGGUACUGCUACCUCGGUCUCUGUGGUAGGGCGCUAUCUACUGAGCUACGCCCUCACCUCGCGCCACCGCGCUGCACACGUACAACCUGAAAACACCCCAAAAUCACGUGGGGUGAGAACCAACUCCAUUGUUCCCAGUG